Molecule: ribosomal RNA, 598 nt
Filed under: uncultured bacterium
Lineage: Bacteria
Description: bacterial SSU rRNA
Rfam family: Bacterial small subunit ribosomal RNA
Source: RNAcentral
CACGCCGUAAACUAUGGAUGCUAGCUGUUAUGAGUAUCGACCCUCGUAGUAGCGAAGCUAACGCGUUAAGCAUCCCGCCUGUGGAGUACGAGCGCAAGCUUAAAACAUAAAGGAAUUGACGGGGACCCGCACAAGCGGUGGAGCGUGUUGUUUAAUUCGAUGAUAAGCGAAGAACCUUACCAAGGCUUGACAUCCCUGGAAUCUUUUCGAAAGAAGAGAGUGCCUUCGGGAAUCAGGUGACAGGUGAUGCAUGGCCGUCGUCAGCUCGUGUCGUGAGAUGUUUGGUUAAGUCCAUCAACGAGCGCAACCCUUAUAUUCAGUUGAAUUUUUCUGAAUAGACUGCCUCGGUAACGGGGAGGAAGGAGGGGAUGAUGUCAGGUCAGUAUUUCCCUUACGCCUUGGGCUACAAACACGCUACAAUGGCCGGUACAAAGGGCUGCCAACCCGCGAGGGGGAGCAAAUCCCAUCAAAGCCGGUCCCAGUUCGGAUAGCAGGCUGAAACUCGCCUGCUGAAUCGGAAUCGCGAGUAACUGUGAUCAGCGAUAGACCGUAAAUACGGCCCGAUUCGAGUCCCCACGCCUGCGCCAUCGUGGCGCUU